The sequence is a ribosomal RNA, 4731 nucleotides long. It matches the Rfam family "Eukaryotic small subunit ribosomal RNA".
CUGGUUGAUCCUGCCAGUAGUGUAUGCUUCUCCUAAAGACUAAGCCAUGCAUGCCUUCGAAUAAGAGGAAGCAAUUCUCUCUGAAUCUGCGAACGGCUCCGCAAACCAGUUGUAAACUAUAGCAAGCAAUCCUGUGGUUGGGCUUCGGCUCGGCCAUGGGUAACAUGGAUAACCCUGGUAAUUCUGAGGCUAAUACAAGAACGUACAACCUGGCUAACCGGCAACGGAAGGCUGGGGAACGUGCAACGUAUCGUAGUGGAUACCGGGAAAGGGUGCACGUUUGGACCGCGCUAAAGACAGUCCUUGGUAAGCCCUUGCGGGCAAGCCUUGGCCUGAGCGGCUCUUGCGGUGUGCUUCUGACCUAUCAACUAGACGGCAGCGUAAGGGACAUGCUAUGGUUACAACGGGUACAGAGGAUAAGGGUUCGAUCCUGGAGAGUGGGCCUGAGAGAUUGCUCAUACUUCUAGGGAAGGCAGCAGGCGCGCAACGUUCCCCUUGGGCAAUGCUCGAGGGCGUUAGGGGACAUAUGAAUGCCUGCCAUAUUGGUGGGCAAUUCAAAUGGGUUUGUUCUAAACAGCCUUUCGAGUAACAAUUAGAGGACAAGUCUGGUGCCAGCACCCGCGAAGCUGAGAGGUUCCGCGGGAAAGCAGCAUCUGAUCGUGAAGGCGUAAAAGUAGCACUAAUACAAGAACGAGGUAACGGUUGGCGCUAGUUGCCGGCCGAGUAGGCAUCUGGGGGGCAAAGGACCGAGACGAAAGGGCAAAAGUAGGUAUGGGCUAAUGCCUUGACCGAACCGGCUUCAGUAGGCUUGGGCCAUAGCAACAAGCCGGUAAAAUGGCUUUGCGCUUUGGUGCAUCGAGGCUCGCGCGUGGGGUUGCUCCCACCCGCUUGCCGACGUGAUCCUGGGCCCCACACUUGAAGGGAGGCGUGCAGCUAAGUAGGGAGGGGGGCACCCCACUCGAACGGCUCGCACCAACCUCUUUGAAGGUGGCUCUGGGUGUCUAGUUGGCUAGGUAGCAACACUAUCAAAUUGCGGGAAACGCCUAAAGCCCUUGCUACCACCCGGUUGCCGAAAGGCGGCUUGGGAACCUUGUCGUAAUGGACCAAGGCACGGUAAUAACGCAACGGGAUGCUACAAUGGCCAAUCUGCAGCUAACCCCGGCAAACCAGGGGGAGUUAGUAAGGACAUGGGGGACCAUACCUGAAUCCUCCCUUUGGCAGGGACAAGUACAGAGACUAAACGGUAGUGGGUGGGGUGCAAGCCUGUAAAUGCAACUCUGGGGCCCGAGAGGGCAUCAGGGGGGCUGUGCGUGCCCUGCUUAAGAUGUAGUCCAGCCUCACCCGAAAGGGUGGUGGGAAACAUACGGUAAUUCCAGCUCUAAUAGCAUACGUUAAAGUUGUUGCGGUUAAAACGCUCGUAGUCGGCUUAAGAUCAUCAGAUGCCUGAUCCGGGAGCCUGGGACCGCUGCUCUUCGGAGCGCGCCAGGUAACUAGAGAGGGUGGGCGGUGGUCAAGUGUGCCUUGGGCUGCCUCUCCGGAGUCGCAGGGCUUAGUCAGCUUCCCUUGCGGGGGGUUGGCUUUGUCCGGCCUGGGGUACCAUUUACUAUGAUUAAACUGGAGUGAUCAAAGCAGGUCGAUCGACCUUGCACAGCACAGCAUAGCAUAAGCAAAACUGGCUUGGCCCUAUUACGGGGGCUGGGUUGGUAGAAGCGAAAGGGGUGUUCGAGGGUGACCGAAUUGCUGGGCGAGUGGUGAAAUACGUUGACCCUAGCAAGUCGACCAAAGGCGAAAGCAGUCAUCAAGGGCACACCCGUUGAUCAAGAGCGAAAGUUAAGGGUUCGAAGACGAUUUGACAAGUCUGGUYGUCUAAAGCGGGAAAGUGCAACUAUGGGAAGGAAGGCGGGGGUCGCUCCCUUGCUCUCCCUACCUGGGGGUUACGAAAGCUAGUUUCCGGGCCUUCACUGGUCUGGAGGCAACACCAUCAAAUUGCGGGGACUCCCUUAGAGCCUUCAACUACCGUACCCCUCUCGAGGGGUAGACCCUGGAUAAUGCCCAGUGGUAGGUCAUAACGUUGAGGGAUUGGGUUACCUGCAGCUAAGCUCUGAAGCCUACCUUGUUCAAAGGGCAAACUCCCGCUUGCGGGGGUGCGUCUGGACUCGAGGGCGGAGAGUGACGUUCACAGACUAAACGGUGGUGGGUGGGGGUCUCCAAAGGGAGCUACGGCUAUCUCGGAGGGUCCCUGCUUAAGACAUAGUCGCGCCCCUCCCGAAAGGGAGGUUGGCACAACCAAGGCAGAUACCGUCGUAGUCUUAACUAUAAAUGAUACUGACCAGGGAUAGGAUACUGUCCAUCUCGACUCUUCCCGAACCUUAGAGAAAUCAGAGUCUUUGAGUUCUGGGGGGAGUAUGGUCGCAAGGCUGAAACUGUAAGGGAAAAAGGCUGGGUUUCUAGAGUGGGUUGCCCUUGUCAAAGGGGGUAACCUGCUAGUCCAAUGGUUCGAACUCCAGGCUCUGCAGGCCACGGGAGGGAGAGCCAUACCGGGAGCACCCGGUUGUAAAGGGCUACACUGUCAAAUGGCUGGGACAUCCUAAAGCCUUCUCUACCAACCACGCGCCUAACAAGCGGAAAAAUCAGGCGCAUCGACCCCCUAACGGGGAUAGCGGCCUGCGUGGGGCCAGGGGUAACGACCCUGGGUACGGUGAAAACGAGGAGGAUAUGAGCGGGAGGAAUGGCUUUCGGGCUACCCCCUCGUUCGACAUGGGUUACCAGCAGCCAAGCUCGUCACCCACCCCGUACUCUAUGGGGUGGCCGAGUGCAGCUCACAGACCAAACGUCAGUGGGUCCCACACCAAGCGGGAAGCGGCGAAAGCGGCUAUCCGUGGGGGCUUAUAAUAUGGUCGGCACUUCCGGGGAAACCCCGGGGGAUCAAGCGUAAAGGAAUUGACGGAAGGGCACACAAAGAGUGGAACCUGCGGCUUUGAUAGAUUAGGCCCAUAAAGUGAACUCGGUUUGCUAGUGGGUGGGGUUAGGCUUGCCUUUCCCCGCUUGCAACACCCCCAAAUUGCUGGGAACCCCUUACAGCCCCCCCUUACCAAGCAGCAUUCCGAAAGGAGGCUGUGGCCCUGGAUAACAACCAGGGGUACGGUGAUAAUAGGGAGGGAUUGGGCAACCAGCAGCCAAGUCCCUUAUCCAAAGCCAGACCUCCGGGACUGGCUUUGCCGGGAUGCAGCUCACAGACUAAACGGUGGUGGGCGGCAGAUUGCCCUAUGUCCCUUGCCCUCGCGGGUGGGGGGUCUUGGUCAACUUGCUGCUUAAGAUAUAGUCGGAGAUACGGCAGAAACCCGUAUCAUCCUAUCGUAAUUUGACUCAACACGGGAAAACUCACCAGGUCCGGAUACACGUAUGAAAGACAAGCUGAAAGACUUUUCUCAAUGAUGUAAGUGGUGGUGCAUGGUCGUUCUUAGUUCGUGGAGUGGUUUGUCUGGUCUAUUCCGAUAACGAAGGGUGUUCGCUAGCAGCCGCCUCACAAUAUGCUUCUUAGACGUAUCAGAAUCGAAAAGGUUCUUGAAAUGGGUUAAUAACAGGUUGUUCUUAUGGACUGGCCUGCAAGAGUCGGUUCUGCUAUCCCUCGGGAAGGCAGUGGCUGGCUAGUGGGACUGAGCCGCUUCCCCCUCGGGGGUCGUGGGGAGGUACUGCGACACUUUCAAAGUGCGGGGACACCCUGUUGAAAGCACAAUCUUAGCUUUGCUCCCCCGAAAGGGGACCUGGCGGGUUGGGCCUGGGGCUAUCCGCAGCCAAACCCUAAACGAGACGCCGCAAGGCUCUCGCACGGGCGCAGUUCACAGACUAGACGGAAGUGGGGUUGUGCAUACGGCAUUCCUGAACCAAUAAAGGAGUGUCUCAGCAGCCUUAAGAGAUAGCCGAACCAUGGCUUUAAAGCCAUCGGAUUGCAGUCAUGCCCUUAGAUGUUCUGGGCCGCACGCGCGUUACAAUGGCAUGCUUUAGAAAGUGCUCAAAAGGGCGUAUCCGCGGCCUACAGGUCGCGGUAACCCCUAGUCCCUGCCUUGACUGGGACAGACUAUUGCAAUUAUUGGUCUCAAACGAGGAAUUUUUAGUAGUCGCAGGUCAUUAACCUGCGACGAAUGCGUCCCUGCCCUUGCAUAGGGGGCUUACAGGCAUGCCGUGAGGUAUACGCCUAGUCUGGGUUGGGAUCUCCGGCUUCUCUCGAGAAGCGGGAAAAACCGGCUUGGGCAACACCGACAAAUUGCGGGGACUCCCUUAAGCUGGCCCUACCAAGCCUUGCCCCGAAAGGGGUGGGGUGGCCCUGGAGAAAGACCAGGGGUACGGUAACAAUGGGCCAGAUUGGGUUAUCUGCAGCUAACCCCUUACGCUUUUCCCUUUGGGACCCCCGGGUCCUGGGGGGUGAGUUACGGGCGUAGUUCACAGGCUAGACGCCGGUGGGUGGGGUCGAGAGAGCGGGAAAACCCCGCUUUCGAAGCCCUGCUUAAGAGAUAGUCGUGGAGGGGUCUGAAAAGGCCCUGUAGUCCCAGUUGUACACACCGCCCGUCGCUGCUACCGAUUGGGUCCUGCGGUUACGAGUUCGGAGGCUGGUGGUGCUCCGCUUGCCUCACGGUAGGCGGGYGCCUCGGUGAAGUUCUAAUUACCGCAUGGCCUAGAGGAAGCAGAAGUCGUAACAAGGUAAUCGUAGGUGAAACUGCGUUUGGAUCAUUA